Molecule: unclassified non-coding RNA, 315 nt
Filed under: Hevea brasiliensis (rubber tree)
Lineage: Eukaryota; Viridiplantae; Streptophyta; Magnoliopsida; Malpighiales; Euphorbiaceae
Source: RNAcentral
CAAGGAUUUCCACUGGCAAGUAUAUAUCUACCCAUCCUCCUACAGGGCAAUUGAGAUGGGACUUUCCCCUAAUUUAAGCAUAUGAGCUAUCAGAUGUAAAAGUCACAGUUUAUGUAGAAUGUUUUAGCUUUUCUUCAACAAGCUCAAUACAGCGAUAUAGAACUAACUCCACUGGGUUAAGAGCACAUACUGUGUCAAUUGCAAGUUGAUCAUAAUCAUUCUUGUUCUCUGUCAUAAUUCCAGUUACAAGGGUUCGAAGAGGCAGAAGCCACUCAUUGUAUGCCUUCUGUAAAUUUUUCUUAGACAGAACUUCAG